CCUGCGGCUGUUAGUGCUGAGAAGACUGGGGAGCGUGUGGGUGGGCCUGGAGGGCACUGCAGGGCUUUCCGGAAGGAGCUGGGAGGAAAAAGAUGAAAAGCAACUCCGAAAGGGAACAAUUCUGAGUAAAGGAUUUGUUCUGAGGGGCUCUGACUACCUGGGGGAUUCCCAGAGAGCCCGUCGCCCUCAGUGCUACCUCAUUACCAUGCUCCUCCAAGGUCUCCACUCCCGAGGAGAAAGAAACAUCCCCCUUGGCUGGCCUCACAGAAGAUACAAAAGCAAAGCCCACCAGCACCAAAUUGAAAUUGACAGGAGAUGGGUGGAGUACAGUGUGUGGAU
This 339-nucleotide long non-coding RNA is filed under the name Heterocephalus glaber (naked mole-rat). Its description in RNAcentral is "lncRNA (ENSHGLG00000044982.1)". Lineage: Eukaryota; Metazoa; Chordata; Mammalia; Rodentia; Bathyergidae. The record is from RNAcentral.